Molecule: ribosomal RNA, 463 nt
Filed under: uncultured bacterium
Lineage: Bacteria
Description: bacterial SSU rRNA
Rfam family: Bacterial small subunit ribosomal RNA
Source: RNAcentral
GCCAGACUCCUACGGGAGGCAGCAGUGAGGAAUAUUGGCCAAUGGGCGGAAGCCUGAACCAGCCAAGUCGCGUGAGGGAAUAAGGCCCUACGGGUCGUAAACCUCUUUUGCCGGGGAGCAAGGGCCGGGACGCGUCCCGGCCCGGAGAGUACCCGGAGAAAAAGCAUCGGCUAACUCCGUGCCAGCAGCCGCGGUAAUACGGAGGAUGCGAGCGUUAUCCGGAUUUAUUGGGUUUAAAGGGUGCGUAGGCGGGCUUUUAAGUCAGCGGUAAAAAUUCGGGGCUCAACCCCGUCCGGCCGUUGAAACUGGGGGCCUUGAGUGGGCGAGAAGAAGGCGGAAUGCGUGGUGUAGCGGUGAAAUGCAUAGAUAUCACGCAGAACCCCGAUUGCGAAGGCAGCCUUCCGGCGCCCUACUGACGCUGAGGCACGAAAGUGCGGGGAUCGAACAGGAUUAGAUACCCUAA